Molecule: long non-coding RNA, 973 nt
Organism: Apis cerana (Asiatic honeybee)
Lineage: Eukaryota; Metazoa; Arthropoda; Insecta; Hymenoptera; Apidae
Source: RefSeq, a predicted model, not a curated record
AACGAGGCAUCGCAGGUGAGAACAACCAAGAGGCAUAUAUAUUUCACCUCGAGGUCUUCUUAAAGGUCUUUCGGCCGAAGACGCGUAAAAGAUUGAUUUCGAAAUCGUUUCGACAAUAAAGAGAUUUUCUUGUUGGAAUUCUACCACGUUUGUUGAAGAGAUAUACAAGAGAAAGAUAGAGAAUAAUUAACGCUAGAAUUAUCGAUUUAUAAAUAUGUGUGAUUAUGAUUAACGGCGUCGUUCGAUUUAUGUUCCGCAAUCUGGGGUCAAUGGAAAUUUCAAACGACGAAGUUCAAUGUGGAAAGAAACUUUCGAGUGAAAGGUCAGCGGAUUUUCUAAAGCGUAAACGUAACGUUUCAAGAGGUGACAAAUUGACGGGAAAUGCGGACGGCCAUGAAAAAUCUCGACGAGAUCGAAAGGCUCGAUCGAAACGUUUUCAUUGGUCUUAGAAAAAGAAGAAAAAAAAAAAAGAAAAAGAUCCGUCAUCGUAUCUGUGUACAUAAUAUAAUAUAAUUACAGCUCACACGACGAAUUAUUUAUGUAUUCAAACAAGAUUGUUUGCGCAACUUCGAAAUCCAACGAAUUCGAUUUAAUUAUUAAAGCGAAGUAGUAUCGGGAAGUUCAAAGAACUUUAAUCGAAAUAAGAAAUUUCAAAACAAGAAAAGAUUGUAAAUAUUUGUGAAAUUUAUAUUGCUGUUAAUGAGAAUGUAAUUUUAAUAAUAAAGAGUUCGCUUUAACGAGCCAACAAUGAGAGAAAGUGCGAACUCAUUGAAUGGGAAGAAAUUUCACGGGCAAUUGGCACUCGAAAGAUCUAGCCAAAGGAUCAACGUACCUAAACAGCCACUUAAAGACCGUUCAACGAAAAAUCGAAAUUCAAAAUUCCAAGUGAUGCUUAAAAUCCCCCUCGUAAUAAUUUAAAAUUAUAAUCUCGAAUAAAUAUUACUUGAUAUAGAUGAUAAUACAUAUUAGAAAA